CCUACGGGUGGCAGCAGUGAGGAAUAUUGGUCAAUGGGCGUAAGCCUGAACCAGCCAAGCCGCGUGAGGGUUGAAGGUUCUAUGGCUUGUAAACCUCUUUUUUAAGGGACUAAAGUGCGGGCCGUGUGCCGGUCUGGAUGUACCUUAUGAAUAAGGAUGGGCUACUCCGGUCCAGGAGGCGGCGGUAAUACGGGGGAUCCGGGCGUUAUCCGGAUUUAUUGGGUUUAAGGGGUGCGUAGGUGGGAGGUAAAGUAGGGGGGAAAAGCCCGCGGUGAAAGGGGUGAAGUGCCAUUGAUACUGGCUGGCUGGAAUGCGGAUGCGGUGGGAGGAAUGUGUGGUGUAGCGGUGAAAUGCUUAGAUAUCACACAGAACACCGAUUGCGAAGGCAGCUCACGAAUCCGCGACUGACGCUGAUGCACGAAAGCGUGGGGAUCAAACAGGAUUAGAUACCCCAGUAGUC
RNAcentral lists this ribosomal RNA (460 nucleotides) under uncultured bacterium. RNAcentral's name for it is "partial 16S ribosomal RNA". It matches the Rfam family "Bacterial small subunit ribosomal RNA", at positions 338 to 795 of the family's 1533-position model. The record is from RNAcentral.